Molecule: ribosomal RNA, 508 nt
Filed under: Promecosoma viride
Lineage: Eukaryota; Metazoa; Arthropoda; Insecta; Coleoptera; Chrysomelidae
Description: partial 16S ribosomal RNA
Rfam family: Bacterial large subunit ribosomal RNA
Source: RNAcentral
GGCUUUUUGAUUUAAUUUAAAGUCUGGCCUGCCCAAUGAAAUUUUUAAUGGCCGCGGUAUUUUGACCGUGCUAAGGUAGCAUAAUCAUUAGUUUUUUAAUUGAAGACUGGAAUGAAAGGUUUGAUGAGAAAAUUACUGUCUCUGAAUAAUUAUAUUGAAUUUUAUUUUUAAGUUAGAAAGCUUAAAUUUUUUUGAAAGACGAUAAGACCCUAUAGAGUUUUAUUAAUUUUAUAAUUUUUUAUUUUGGUAAAGUUUUUAUUUAAUUAUAAAGUUAAUUUGGUUGGGGUGACCAAAAAAUUUAUUUAACUUUUUUUUUAUAUAACGAUAAUAAAUGGUUUAAUGAUCCAUUCUUUGUGAUUGUAAGUAUUAAAUUACCUUAGGGAUAACAGCGUAAUUUUUUUUGAGAGUUCUUAUCGAAAAGAGAGAUUGCGACCUCGAUGUUGGAUUAAGAUAAAAUUUUGGUGUAGAAGCUGGAAUAUUAAGUCUGUUCGACUUUUUAAAUCUUACA